GACGAACGCUGGCGGCGUGCCUAAUACAUGCAAGUCGAGCGAAUCUUUGGGAGCUUGCUCCCAAAGAUUAGCGGCGGACGGGUGAGUAACACGUGGGCAACCUGCCUAUAAGACUGGGAUAACUUCGGGAAACCGGAGCUAAUACCGGAUAAUCCUUUUCCUCUCAUGAGGGGAAGCUGAAAGACGGUUUCGGCUGUCACUUAUAGAUGGGCCCGCGGCGCAUUAGCUAGUUGGNGAGGUAACGGCUCACCAAGGCGACGAUGCGUAGCCGACCUGAGAGGGUGAUCGGCCACACUGGGACUGAGACACGGCCCAGACUCCUACGGGAGGCAGCAGUAGGGAAUCUUCCGCAAUGGACGAAAGUCUGACGGAGCAACGCCGCGUGAACGAUGAAGGC
RNAcentral lists this ribosomal RNA (397 nucleotides) under uncultured bacterium. Its description in RNAcentral is "bacterial SSU rRNA". It matches the Rfam family "Bacterial small subunit ribosomal RNA", at positions 28 to 415 of the family's 1533-position model. The record is from RNAcentral.